AUUGAACGCUGGCGGCAGGCCUAACACAUGCAAGUCGAGCGAGCGGCGGACGGGUGCGUAAUGCCUGGGAAUUGCCCAGUCGAGGGGGAUAACAGUUGGAAACGACUGCUAAUACCGCAUACGAUUGGAUUGCCCAGGUGGUAUUAGCCAGUUGGUGAGGUAAUGGCUCACAAAGGCGACGAUCCCUAUCUGGUCUGAGAGGAUGAUGGGACACACGGAAACUGAGACACAGUCCAGACUCCAACGGGAGGCAGCAGUAGGGAAUAUUGCACAAUGGGGGAAACCCUGAUGCAGCAAUGCAGAGUAUGUGAAGAAGGCCUUCGGGUUGUAAAGCACUUUCAGCGAGGAGGCGUUACUCGCAGAAGAAGCACCGGCUAACUCCGUGCCAGCAGCCGCGGUAAUUC
RNAcentral lists this ribosomal RNA (404 nucleotides) under uncultured bacterium. RNAcentral's name for it is "partial 16S ribosomal RNA". It matches the Rfam family "Bacterial small subunit ribosomal RNA", at positions 30 to 526 of the family's 1533-position model. The record is from RNAcentral.